UACGUAGGCAGCAAGCGUUGUUCGGAGUUACUGGGCGUAAAGGGUGCGUAGGCGGCCGAUUAAGUUUGGUGUGAAAUCUCCCGGCUCAACCGGGAGGGUGCGCCGGAAACUGAUGGGCUAGAGUGCGGGAGGGGAGAGUGGAAUUCCUGGUGUAGCGGUGAAAUGCGUAGAUAUCAGGAGGAACACCGGUGGUGUAAACGGCUCUCUGGACCGCGACUGACGCUGAGGCACGAAAGCGUGGGGAGCAAAC
Molecule: ribosomal RNA, 250 nt
Filed under: uncultured bacterium
Lineage: Bacteria
Description: partial 16S ribosomal RNA
Rfam family: Bacterial small subunit ribosomal RNA
Source: RNAcentral